GUGAGGAAUAUUGCGCAAUGGAGGCAACUCUGACGCAGCCAUGCCGCGUGCAGGAAGAAGGCGCUACGCGUUGUAAACUGCUUUUAACCGGGAAGAAACCCCAGGACGUGUCCUGGGUUGACGGUACCGGAGGAAUAAGCACCGGCUAACUUCGUGCCAGCAGCCGCGGUAAUACGAAGGGUGCAAGCGUUAUCCGGAUUCAUUGGGUUUAAAGGGUGCGUAGGCGGAGCGUUAAGUCAGUGGUGAAAUCCUGCAGCUUAUCUGUAGACUUGCGAGUGAUACUGGCGCUCUUGAGUGCGCUUGAAGUGGGCGGAAUGUGCCGUGUAGCGGUGAAAUGCUUAGAUAUGGCACAGAACACCAAUUGCGAAGGCAGCUCACUAAGGCGAUACUGACGCUGAGGCACGAAAGCGUGGGGAUCGAACAGGAUUAGAAACCCCAGUAGUCC
This 445-nucleotide ribosomal RNA is filed under the name uncultured bacterium. RNAcentral's name for it is "partial 16S ribosomal RNA". It matches the Rfam family "Bacterial small subunit ribosomal RNA", at positions 354 to 796 of the family's 1533-position model. The record is from RNAcentral.